Molecule: ribosomal RNA, 478 nt
Filed under: uncultured bacterium
Lineage: Bacteria
Description: partial 16S ribosomal RNA
Rfam family: Bacterial small subunit ribosomal RNA
Source: RNAcentral
GAUGAACGCUGGCGGCGUGCUUAACACAUGCAAGUCGAACGGGAAACCUUUUAUUGAAGCUUCGGCAGAUUUAGCUGGUUUCUAGUGGCGGACGGGUGAGUAACGCGUGGGUAACCUGCCUUAUACAGGGGGAUAACAGUCAGAAAUGGCCGCUAAUACCGCAUAAGCGCACAGAGCUGCAUGGCUCAGUGUGAAAAACUCCGGUGGUAUAAGAUGGACCCGCGUUGGAUUAGCUGGUUGGUGGGGUAACGGCCCACCAAGGCGACGAUCCAUAGCCGGCCUGAGAGGGUGAACGGCCACAUUGGGACUGAGACACGGCCCAGACUCCUACGGGAGGCAGCAGUGGGGAAUAUUGCACAAUGGGGGAAACCCUGAUGCAGCGACGCCGCGUGAAGGAAGAAGUAUCUCGGUAUGUAAACUUCUAUCAGCAGGGAAGAUAAUGACGGUACCUGACUAAGAAGCCCCGGCUAACUACGUG